This 425-nucleotide unclassified non-coding RNA is filed under the name Malbranchea cinnamomea. RNAcentral describes it as "partial contains 18S rRNA, ITS1, 5.8S rRNA, ITS2 and 28S rRNA". The stretch from base 179 to 425 matches the Rfam family "Eukaryotic large subunit ribosomal RNA", at positions 1 to 244 of the family's 3401-position model. Lineage: Eukaryota; Fungi; Ascomycota; Eurotiomycetes; Onygenales; Malbrancheaceae. The record is from RNAcentral.
AAGCGCGGCUUGUGUGAUGGGCGCGCGUCCCCCCGAACUGGGCGGGACGGGCCCGAAAGGCAGUGGCGGCGUCGCGGUCAUCCUCGAUCGCCCGAGUGCAUGGGGCUCAGUCACGCACGACGGCGAGGACCGGCGCCGGCCGAACCCCGCGACACCCCGUGUGUCGCUCUUCGACGGUUGACCUCGGAUCAGGUAGGGAUACCCGCUGAACUUAAGCAUAUCAAUAAGCGGAGGAAAAGAAACCAACAGGGAUUGCCUCAGUAACGGCGAGUGAAGCGGCAAGAGCUCAAAUUUGAAAUCUGGCGCCUCCGGCGUCCGAGUUGUAAUUUGGAGAGGAUGCUUCGGGUGCGGCCGCGGCCUAAGUCCCCUGGAACGGGGCGUCGCAGAGGGUGAGAAUCCCGUCUUUGGUCGCCGGUGCGCGCCCG